AUUGAACGCUGGCGGCAUGCCUAACACAUGCAAGCGAACGGAAACGAUGGGAGCUUGCUCCCAGGCGUCGAGUGGCGGACGGGUGAGGUAAUACUUAGGAAUCUGCCCAGUAGUGGGGGACAACAUUCGGAAACGGAUGCUAAUACCGCAUACGCACUACGGUGGAAAGUGGGGGACCUUCGGGCCUCACGCUAUUGGAUGAGCCUAAGUCGGAUUAGUUUGUUGGUGAGGUAAUGGCUCACCAAGGCGACGAUCCGUAGCUGGUCUGAGAGGACGAUCAGCCACACUGGGACUGAGACACGGCCCAGACUCCUACGGGAGGCAGCAGUGGGGGAAUAUUGCACAAUGGGCGGAAGCCUGAUGCAGCAAUGCCGCGUGUGUGAAGAAGGCCUGCGGGUUGUAAAGCACUUUCAGUAGGGAGGAAACAGUAACGGGUUAAUACCCCGGUACCUUGACGUUACCUACAGAAGAAGCACCGGCUAACUCUGUG
Molecule: ribosomal RNA, 490 nt
Filed under: uncultured bacterium
Lineage: Bacteria
Description: bacterial SSU rRNA
Rfam family: Bacterial small subunit ribosomal RNA
Source: RNAcentral